CCUAGCCCUUCAGAGGGGGACAACAGUUGGAAACGACUGCUAAUACCGCAUACGAUCUAAACUCGGCAUCGAGGAUAGAUGAAAGGUGGCCUCUACAUGUAAGCUAUCACUGAAGGAGGGGAUUGCGUCUGAUUAGCUAGUUGGAGGGGUAACGGCCCACCAAGGCGAUGAUCAGUAGCCGGUCUGAGAGGAUGAACGGCCACAUUGGGACUGAGACACGGCCCAG
RNAcentral lists this ribosomal RNA (226 nucleotides) under uncultured Veillonellaceae bacterium. RNAcentral's name for it is "partial 16S ribosomal RNA". It matches the Rfam family "Bacterial small subunit ribosomal RNA", at positions 124 to 334 of the family's 1533-position model. The record is from RNAcentral. Lineage: Bacteria; Bacillati; Bacillota; Negativicutes; Veillonellales; Veillonellaceae.